RNAcentral lists this ribosomal RNA (589 nucleotides) under Aspergillus welwitschiae. RNAcentral's name for it is "partial 18S ribosomal RNA". The stretch from base 242 to 395 matches the Rfam family "5.8S ribosomal RNA". The record is from RNAcentral. Lineage: Eukaryota; Fungi; Ascomycota; Eurotiomycetes; Eurotiales; Aspergillaceae.
UUGGAAGUAAAAAGUCGUAACAAGGUUUCCGUAGGUGAACCUGCGGAAGGAUCAUUACCGAGUGCGGGUCCUUUGGGCCCAACCUCAUCCGUGUCUAUUGUACCCUGUUGCUUCGGCGGGCCCGCCGCUUGUCGGCCGCCGGGGGGGCGCCUCUGCCCCCCGGGCCCGUGCCCGCCGGAGACCCCAACACGAACACUGUCUGAAAGCGUGCAGUCUGAGUUGAUUGAAUGCAAUCAGUUAAAACUUUCAACAAUGGAUCUCUUGGUUCCGGCAUCGAUGAAGAACGCAGCGAAAUGCGAUAACUAAUGUGAAUUGCAGAAUUCAGUGAAUCAUCGAGUCUUUGAACGCACAUUGCGCCCCCUGGUAUUCCGGGGGGCAUGCCUGUCCGAGCGUCAUUGCUGCCCUCAAGCCCGGCUUGUGUGUUGGGUCGCCGUCCCCCUCUCCGGGGGGACGGGCCCGAAAGGCACGGCGGCACCGCGUCCGAUCCUCGAGCGUAUGGGGCUUUGUCACAUGCUNUGUAGGAUUGGCCGGCGCCUGCCGACGUUUUCCAACCAUUCUUUUCCAGGUGACCUCGAUCNGGAGGAUCCAU